AGUGAACGCUGGCGGUAGGCCUAACACAUGCAAGUCGAACGGCAGCACAGUAAGAUCUUGCUCUUACGGGUGGCGAGUGGCGGACGGGUGAGGAAUACAUCGGAAUCUACUUUUACGUGGGGGAUAACGUAGGGAAAGUUACGCUAAUACCGCAUACGAUCUACGGGUGAAAGCAGGAGAUCUUCGCACCUUGCGCGAUUGAAUGAGCCGAUGUCGGAUUAGCUAGUUGGCGUGGUAAAGGCCCACCAAGGCAACGAUCCGUAGCUGGUCUGAGAGGAUGAUCAGCCACACUGGAACUGAGACACGGUCCAGACUCCUACGGGAGGCAGCAGUGGGGAAUAUUCGACAAAGGGCGCAAGCCUGAUCCAGCAAUGCCGCGUGAGUGAUGAAGGCCUUCGGGUUGUAAAGCCCUUUUGUUGGGAAAGAAAAGCAGCGGGUUAAUACCCCGCUGUUCUGACGGUACCCAAAGAAUAAGCACCGGCUAACUUCGUG
Molecule: ribosomal RNA, 492 nt
Filed under: uncultured bacterium
Lineage: Bacteria
Description: partial 16S ribosomal RNA
Rfam family: Bacterial small subunit ribosomal RNA
Source: RNAcentral